UACUGACUAACUAGUCCAACCAACAAGAAUCAAUAAUCCAAAAAUAACCCUAAAUGAACUACAAAAUUAAUAAAAUAAAACAUUUUAUACCCUUAGUAAGAGCGACUGAAAAGGAACUAUAGGAACAAUAAAUAUCAGUACCGCAAGGGAAAGUUGAAAUAGAUAUGAAAAAGCCCAGUGAAGAAAAAUAAAGCAGAGAUUAAACCUCGUACCUUUUGCAUCAUGAUUUAACAAGAAAAACUUAGGCGAGAAGACUCUUAGUCUAAGACCCCGAAACUAAGUGAGCUACUUCAAGCCAGCAUAUUUAUUCAGUGCCAACCCGUCUCUGUUGCAAAAGAGUGGGAAGAGCUUUAAGUAGAGGUGAUAAGCCUAUCGAACUUAGUUAUAGCUGGUUUUCUGAGAACUGAAUAUAAGUUCAGCCUCUAAGCUUCUUAUCACAAACAACUAAUCAUAUAAAUUAUCAUCAAUCCGGUCAAAAAGAAGUUUAGAGAGUUAAUCAAAGGGGGGACAGCCCCUUUGAACAAGCAACAACUUUAAUUAGUUGGUUAAAGAUCAAAAUAUUAAAGGUAGAUUUACUUACGUGGGCCCGAAAGCAGCCACCCCUUAAGAAAGCGUUAAAGCUCAAGAAACACUACCACUAACAAUAACGAUAAAAAACUCUCACCCCACUACAAACCUAUCAGAAUAUCUUAUACACCUAUAAGAGAAAUUAUGCUAAAAUUAGUAAUAAGAGGUAAGACCCUCUCCAUACAUAAGUGUAACUCGAAACGGACUAACCCCCGAGAAAUAACGACCCCAAUAAAAGAGGGACUAGGAAAGAAAAUAAAAAACUAGAAACACCUCCAACUACUAUCGUUAACCCCACACUGGAAUGUAAUUAAGGAAAGAUUAAAAGAAAAAGAAGGAACUCGGCAAACACAAGCCUCGCCUGUUUACCAAAAACACCGCCUCUUGAACUAUAAAAAUAAGAGGUCAUACCUGCCCAGUGAUAUUUAUUAAACGGCCGCGGUAUUUUGACCGUGCAAAGGUAGCGUAAUCACUUGUCCCUUAAAUGGGGACCCGUAUGAAUGGUCUAACGAGGGCUUAACUGUCUCCUUUUUCUAAUCAAUGAAAUUGAUCUCUUCGUGCAAAAGCGAAGAUUACUAUAUAAGACGAGAAGACCCUGUGGAGCUUAAGAUUAUUUUGUAGACUAUGCCUAAUAACCUUCACAAAAGAAUUAAAGCUCAAAGCUUACUUCAAAAAAUCUUCAGUUGGGGCGACUACGGAGUAUAUAAAACCUCCGAGAAGACUGAGAAUAUGCUUUCUCAAAACCUAGAACCACCCUCCAAAGUAACAGAAAAUCUGACUUUAAUUGAUCCAAAUACUUGAUCAACGAACCAAGUUACCCCAGGGAUAACAGCGCAAUCCUCUUUCAGAGUCCCUAUCGACAAGAGGGUUUACGACCUCGAUGUUGGAUCAAGACAUCCUGAUGGUGCAGCCGCUAUCAAGGGUUCGUUUGUUCAACGAUUAAAGUCUUACGUGAUCUGAGUUCAGACCGGAGUAAUCCAGGUCAGUUUCUAUCUAUAAAAUGUUCUUUUCUAGUACGAAAGGACCGAAAAGAAAAGGCCUAUACUAUUAGUACGCCUUACUUUAACUUAAUGAAAUCAACUCAAGAAAAUAAAAAAGCAUAAAAUAUGUAACUCAAGAAAAAAGUG
This 1694-nucleotide ribosomal RNA is filed under the name Eopsetta jordani (Petrale sole). RNAcentral describes it as "16S ribosomal RNA". The stretch from base 108 to 1580 matches the Rfam family "Bacterial large subunit ribosomal RNA". Lineage: Eukaryota; Metazoa; Chordata; Actinopteri; Pleuronectiformes; Pleuronectidae. The record is from RNAcentral.